AUGUCACAAGGAUCUGUGCUCCAACAGUGGAUUUGCCACCUCAGUUGAGCCAUGGCUGCCUCCAAGCUGACCCAUGUCCUAGGUUAUCUGUCCAGCUCUGGGUGGGAGCUCAUGGCUUUUCACCUUCUGUGCACAAAGGCGGUGUCUGGCAGCUUGGAGUGAGGAGCAGGAUUGCUUUGGCCCAGCGAGGGCAGCACUGGAAACCUGUGUGUGCAUCCAAUAAUGCAAUGGCUGGAAGACAAGGAAGUGGCAGAGUAGCUGGGUGGAUGCAGUGGAUAUUGGCAAUAAUUCUGAUGCUGUGGGGUCACCAGAUCAGUGGACAAGGACAAGGCCUGCUGAGGUGCACUGGAGUGCUGGGGUCAACUGCUGGGCUCCCAGUACAAGAGACAUGGAGAUACUGGAGCGAGCCCAGGGAAGGGCCACAAAGAACAGAAACAUCUGUUUUACAAGGAGAGACUGAGAGAGCUGGGACUGUUCAGCCUGGAUUAGAGAAGGCCAAGUACA
Molecule: non-coding RNA, 504 nt
Organism: Cyanistes caeruleus (blue tit)
Lineage: Eukaryota; Metazoa; Chordata; Aves; Passeriformes; Paridae
Source: RefSeq, a predicted model, not a curated record